Molecule: ribosomal RNA, 542 nt
Filed under: Sarocladium strictum
Lineage: Eukaryota; Fungi; Ascomycota; Sordariomycetes; Hypocreales; Sarocladiaceae
Description: eukaryotic LSU rRNA
Rfam family: 5.8S ribosomal RNA (bases 152-305)
Source: RNAcentral
CUCUCCAACCCAUUGUGAACUUACCAAACGUUCCCUCGGCGGGCUCAGCGCGCGGUGGCCUCCGGGCCUCCGGGCGUCCGCCGGGGAAAACCAAACCCUGAUUUAAUCGUAUUUCUCUGAGGGGCGAAAGCCCGAAAACAAAAUGAAUCAAAACUUUCAACAACGGAUCUCUUGGCUCUGGCAUCGAUGAAGAACGCAGCGAAAUGCGAUAAGUAAUGUGAAUUGCAGAAUUCAGUGAAUCAUCGAAUCUUUGAACGCACAUUGCGCCCGCCGGCACUCCGGCGGGCAUGCCUGUCCGAGCGUCAUUUCAACCCUCAGGCCCACCCUUCCGGGGGAGCGGGCCUGGUGCUGGGGAUCGGCGGCCCUCGAGGCCCCCGUCCCUCAAAUUCAGUGGCGGUCGCGCCGCAGCCUCCCCUGCGUAGUAGCACAACCUCGCACCGGAGAGCGGAACGACCACGCCGUGAAACCCCCAAUUUUUUUAAGGUUGACCUCGGAUCAGGUAGGAAUACCCGCUGAACUUAAGCAUAUCAAUAAGCGGAGGA